This 484-nucleotide ribosomal RNA is filed under the name uncultured bacterium. RNAcentral's name for it is "partial 16S ribosomal RNA". It matches the Rfam family "Bacterial small subunit ribosomal RNA", at positions 30 to 507 of the family's 1533-position model. The record is from RNAcentral.
AUUGAACGCUGGCGGCAGGCCUAACACAUGCAAGUCGAGCGGAAGAACGGUGCUUGCUUCUGGAUCCAGAGGCGGACGGGUGAGUAAUGCCUAGGAAUCUGCCUGGUAGUGGGUGAUAAUGUCUGGAAACAGGCGCUAAUAACGCCUACGUCCUGCGGGUGCAAGUGGGGGAGCUUUGGAACUUACGCUAUCAUAUGAGCCUAGGUCGGAUUAGCUAGUUGGUAGGGUAAAGGCCUACUUAGGCGACGAUCCGUAACUGGUCUGAGAGGAUGAUCGGUCACACUGGAACUGAGACACGGUCCAGACUCCUACGGGAGGCAGCAGUGGGGAAUAUUAGGCAAUGGGCGAAAGCCUGAUCCAGCCAUGCCGCGUGUGUUAAGAAGGUCUUCGGAUUGUAAAGCACUUUAAGUUGGGAGGAAGGGCAGUAAGUUAAUACCUUGCUUUUUUGACGGUACCGACAGAAUAAGCACCGGCUAACUUCGUG